UGAAAAUUAUAGGCCUCUCUCAUCUUUUUAAGUGGGAGAACUUGCACAAUUGGUGGCUGACUAAAUACUUUUUUUUGCCCCACUGUAUAUGGUGCUUUGAAUGUUUUAAAGGCAAUAUGCCUAAAACUUAUGCACCUGGUGCUCUUAUGUUUUAUAUCUUUAUUUAACUAUUUUUUUGCAGCAGGCUUCUUGACUUUAGGCUUCUUCGCUGCAGCAGGCUUCUUGACUUUAGGCUUCUUCUCUGCAGCAGGCUUCUUGACUUUAGGCUUCUUAGCUGCAGCAGGCUUCUUGACUUUAGGCUUCUUAGCUGCAGCAGGCUUCUUGACUUUAGGCUUCUUAGCUGCAGCAGGCUUCUUGACUUUAGGCUUCUUAGCUGCAGCAGGCUUCUUGACUUUAGGCUUCUUCGCUGCAGCAGGCUUCUUGGGUACAGGUGCCUUGGGUGCGGUCUUCAUGUUUUUCUCAAGGUGGUCCUCAAUUUUGGGCUUCUUGGCGUUAUUUACAGUGCUUCCAACUGUCCCAAUUCCAAUGCUUUCAGCCUUCCUCUUCAGGUUUGGUUGGGCUUGGUGAAUAGGCAUAGCUGGAGGCAUAACAGGUGAAACAGUUACAUCACAACAUAAGUAAUGAGAUUACAUUAUAAAUGUGUUUGGUUAUGAACAGUGGAAAGCGUAAUUUGACAAUUCUCCAUGUAAAAUCUUAGAAUUACAAAUGGUACCCAUUUACUGUAGUUAUAAUUAAUCACUGUAGAGUUUAUUUCAUUUGCCGUUCUUUCAGCACCCAUGACACGAGACGAUGCUGGAGGAGAACCUUGAGAUGGAGGCAUCCAUGAGGAGGAUCCUUUUGAUGGAAAUAUCAAAGAGAAAAUACUAAUGUUAUAAUGUUUUAUCAUUGGAAUGUGAUACAAAGCGAGGCAGCGGUGUGCUUCAGGACCAUGCGGAUGCCUCUGAGCGGUCGGGUAGGCUGUUUGGAGUGCUUCUCCGACGGGGGUAAAAAAACACACACACAAAAGGUAUGUCCCCCCACUUCUAAAAACAAAGUUGCACCCCGAACAAAAUAGCAAAUUAUUGUGCAUUUUGUAAAUAUUAUGAUAUACCAACAGAAUUUACUGAGCAUUAUACAGUGUUUGAUAAAGUAGAUCACGUUUUUUUAUCACAUUUUUCAUAUAAACAGUAU
Long non-coding RNA from Oncorhynchus tshawytscha (Chinook salmon), 1170 nucleotides. NCBI's taxonomy places the organism in Eukaryota, Metazoa, Chordata, Actinopteri, Salmoniformes, Salmonidae. The record is from Ensembl.